Anoplophora glabripennis (Asian longhorned beetle) is the source of this 155-nucleotide long non-coding RNA. RefSeq lists it as uncharacterized. Lineage: Eukaryota; Metazoa; Arthropoda; Insecta; Coleoptera; Cerambycidae. The record is from RefSeq and is a predicted model, not a curated record. The transcript has 2 exons.
AUUUGGUGACACAUCACCAAAACAUUGAUCAACUUUAACUGCAUCAGAAAUAGGAAUGGAAUCACCCAAUCGUAAUAAAAUUAUAAACGUGAAGAAAAGGCCUUAUCCACGAUAUUUUGGAGAAUGCCAUACUUCUGACAUGGAUAGUCCAAAAA